CCCUCCGCUCUGCUGUUGCUGCUUCUUCUGCGUUGGUACGUGCACGCGGACGCGUAGAGAAGGGACACUGGCCUCUCUGAUACCACGCGAGAAACGGAGUUCGUCUAUCAGUGCGACGCAGGUUCUCCCGGAGGAUGAUGCUGUUUGCUGAGAUUCACGGAUUUGUGUCAUACUUGCGGAUGAACCAAGUUCGAACUACGCCAUCAUCAUUCACGAGUCACCAAAAGCUAUCUUAGCAGGCCCAUUUCCUCGAUCGAGGGUAAUCAAGCCACGCAUCGAAGAAAGAGCAAAGGGAAGAGAGGCUUCACUGCGUCAGCGAUAAUGAGCAGCUCCCGACGAGAGGAGCAGAAGCUUCACAAAAGAAUGGAGGUAGCUCCGGUGGAUUAAAAGGCAAAUGGGAAUCGCUCGGGGCGUCACCGGAGACUACUCUGUCAUCGAGUGAGCACGCGUGCAGCGGCGAAAUGCGUGCGCACGCGAGAGAGCUCGGGAUUUAAGCUUUUAAUCUUGGAAUGGAACCCCGGGCUUGGCUCCAAAUUUUUUCCCGAUUGGAUAUUCUUUGCUUCGCGCGCGUGUAUCGUUCGGAGUGGCUUUUUCGACGUUGCUUCGUCGACGGCUUGUCAGUUUGGUGGGCUAAAAAUGACGCGCAUAACCGUAUCCAGAACCAUAGCACACCCGAUGUAUAUUCGAGUAUCCAUACACCCGUGACAGCACGAAAUCUGCCGAAGCCCAUAGCUUUAUUGAAACAGGCUCUCCCUUACGUACUGUCGGUCAACUCAGCCUGUAUAAAGCCCCUCGGGAUCAAAUCUUCGCGCGAAGACGAGGAUGCGGGGGCGUCCGACGGCUAUCGAUCGCGCCCGCGUAGGUACACCCCAGAUAGUACGCGCGAGCGAUGGAAUAAGUGGCAUCGGAGGUAUAUGUAGGGAUGCUGCUGCUGCAGCGGCAGCCAAUUUGUCGGGCGAGAUGGCUUCCGCCUCGAAUGCAAAUUUCUCAUGCUAAAUAGACGAGGGUGUGUGUGUGUGUGUUUGUGGUUGAGGAACGAACGAGUUAACUAGAUAGCGAGAAAAGGGUCGCGCUCGCACAUACUGCUGAUGCGUCCCUUGCCGCUGAAAUAGUGGAUCGAGGAGAGCGUAGGAGGGAUUUCGGACGAAAGAGGGAAUUCAAAAUUCUCGUCAGUGAGAGCUGACUCGUUUUGGAGGUUUCCUUGAGUGAACUGCCGGUGUGCGGUACUUGGUGAGGAUUAUUUUUGCCGGCGAUUGAUUCAGAUUUUAGGUGGAUUGAAAGUUACGUUUGUGAUAUGUACGUACGUGAGAAUUCGUGGGUGUUUGACGGAGGUCGAGAAAAGUGCCUUACCUGUAACAGAAAAGGUUGAAAGUUUGUUAAAAAUUGUAUGGUAAUAAUAGAUAUUAUCGUUAUAUCAUUUUCACAUUACACGUGCUUUAGUUCAAUUAAACGUAUGUAUAAUAUACAUGUAAGAGAGUUUCGAUACAACACGCACUUCUCAUUACGAACGAGAUGAUAAUACUUAAUUAUCCGAAUUAAUGGCUAUUAGAUAUUGAACGUUGCAAAUUUAACGGCAUUUAUUGAAUUUAAUCAGUCUUCUCCAGAGCAUAAUGAAUACCAACAUCGCAAUGAUGACCAAAUUAUGCGUACCAAUCGAGUCUUACAAAUACUUACGCCAAGCUUUAAACAAUGAAAAUGAAUUUCGGAACAAAGCGACGAUAACGUGAGCGUAAAAGACAUCGACCCCAUUAACAAAUCUUGCAAACGAGCGACACAUUCCAUGUCUAUCCUCCACAGCUCAAAGAGAUUCCCGCACAGAGGAUCCGGCCAUUGAGCAGAACCGUCCGUAAUUACGAACAAAGCGCGAUAAAGAUUAUACAGGAAAACCGGAAGGGGUGGCAAAAACGCGGGGGUGGAUAGGGGGGCACGCGAGCCUCCGGAAUAAAGUGUGUGCCGGGACGAAGAUUGAUUAAUCCCGCGGUGCGUGGAAUUGUUUGUUUCCAGGGAAAACGAAACGAUUGAGGGGUCAUCCGUAGGGGUUUUUUCCUCCCCCCAGUCGGUCACGAUCGCGUAACUGGGUAAUAUUCGAAAAAGCGAUUCCGUUGAAUUUUACAUCCUACGUGCGCGCGUUCGCAGUUUUCAUCGGCGAAUUACACGCGUCAUGAUUUUCGCGAGCGCCGUGGGACUGACUGCUCGCUCCGUAACAUCCCUAAUCUCCCUAAAGGCCCCUCAACCCCUUUUCCAACGAGAGGCGACAAAGAAAGUAAAUAAUAGGCGCCGUAUCGGGUGAACCCGUUGGCAAAAGAAGAAACGUGAAUAGGGGGGCACAGGACAGCAGCCCCCUACGGCCGUAUUAGUGUCGUGUUUGGGCAACACCCCGCGAAAGAGAGGUGUCCACCGCACGAGGAAAUUACACACAUCGGCUCUCUUUUCACCCCUUCUGUGCGUGUGUGUUUACAGGCGCAGUGUCAUGCAAAUCAGCUGACGACGAAACCCCCUUUUUUCUUCAUACGCACGAGCGCGCGGUUUUGCGGCUGUCCCCUGCCACCGAGAUUAUUACAUGCGCACGAGUACAGGUGUGUUUGCCGGAGACUAUUGUUACCUCUCUCUCUCUCUCUCUCUCUCUCUCGUUAUUAUUCGCGUACGCGAGCGCGCGCGGUUAAUCCGGUCGAGAGUUGAAAUUAAGGGGACCGAGAAAGGGAGCAUGUUUCUCCGGGCGAGUUUUAUGGGGUGUUGAGUCCUCGAAUGCGCGCGUAACAACGGUCGCGACUUUCUUUUUUUCGGCGAGCUCCUCCCCCUUUCUGUUAUGCGGUCGGAUUCGGGUUUGACUCUUUCGUGUCAUCGAUGCUAUGUAUGGGCUCUUGUGUCAAAUCCGUGAAAUUGCUCACAACAUUACGAAAAUCAAUACAGCGUAAAGUUCGAACGAGUGACGCGCUCGAUUUCUCAACGCAAUACGCAGAGCUGCUACUGGCGGCGUUUGAUCGAUGCCACCAGCAGUAUAUCGCGCGCGGCAAACAAACUCUCGUUCGUCGCGCUGCUGUGUAUAAUGUUUGGUUAUAGACGACGCCCCGAAAAUUUCGUUCGACGCGACUGUGUUUACGUUGCGUUUAGAUUAAUAGGAGUCUCUCUCUCGGUGCGCGCGAAUCAAUAACCAUAAUUACAGGAACUUAUCGUCCUCGGGGGAUCUCGAUUUAUCGGGCGAGUCGCGCGCAGGGACGUUCCGCACGGCGAGACAGCCACAUCGAACUCGAUUCAAUUUCAGAUAAAGGAGGCAAAUACUUUUUUAUAUACACGCGAGAGAAUCACCUUGUAUACAUUAUAAUCACGACCGGCUUCGCUUUAUAAGGCUGUGUACAGCAACUGUUACAUUAAUUCGAACGUAUGGAAAUACGCGCGUUUUCUCCUUGUGAUAAAAUUCUCGACGAAUCGGUAAGAGGAACAUUAAAGUCGCUCGUAAUUCUCGACGCAUACCAUACAAUGCAAGAUUGUUUUCUCUCGAAAGCGAUGACUCAGGCAGCUCAACUGGAAACAAUCGACGACCAGAUCGGUGUAUAUGGAGAAUUCGUGAAUCAGCGCAGAGCGAGAGAGAAAUCGUCGUCGCGCGCAUGCACGUUCCUCUAGUAAAUCGAGGAAUUAUAAUUCGAAGUUUCCGAGAGAAGUAAGAGCUGCGCCGUCUCGUACACACUUCGCGCAAUCUCGAAGAGAGCUUUAUAUCCUCGUCGCGUGUAUUUUUCCGAAAUGACAAUCUCCGCAGCUUUGCAUAAGCGCGUAACGUGAAAAAGAGCGUCGUCCACACGUCGUUUGAGUAGAUUGAAAAAAAGUGUCCGAUGUCUUUCGCUGCAGAGGGGUAGAAGGGCGCGCGGUAAUGGCAUUCAUAAUGGGGAGGAGCUACACGCGCUCUGCCCUUAGGAGACAAAAACACGAAGAGAGGGGGGGGGGAUAUCGCUAAGCUCUGGGCGCUCCCCUUUAAGCUCGCGGCUGCAGGUAUGAGAGUGUAAUGUUAGCGAGUCGGAAUUUUGUUGGAAAUUGCACGAGAAAUAUUGAUAGAAUAGCAGUUCAAAUAAUAAAGAACCGUAUGAUACAAAGCCACUUAUAAAUAUACAAUAAUUGAAUCAUCCCCAAAUGAGACUGUCAGAAGCACACACACAAUAUACGGGCAUCGCGGUCGUAUUUUUCUUUUCAUUCCGGGGCACCCGUAAGGAGAUAAAUCAAUUCGUGCGUGUAUAGUCGAAGGCCACGGAUUACAAUAGUGUAAUAACGCGCGUAUACUUCCUCGAGUACCGAAGAUACGGGACACGCUACACUAGAAAAUGUAUCGACUAGUUUAGGUCCCCAUUCUAUUUUUGUACGUAAAAGAACGUAUGAAAAAAAACUGUUUGUAUUUUUCUUUCCACAGAUACUCGACGCUUCGAUAUGCGCAGCGUGAAAAGGAGUAUAUAUAAGUUACGCACAGGCGCGUGAGCGGAAAAAUCCGCGAAACUCCCGGAAACGACGACGCUUAUCCGAACAAUCGAAGCAGAAGCUGAGCGAGAGAGAGAGAGAACAGAGAGCAGCGCGGUCAGCGCGCAAACUCAAUUUCGGCGCGUCGCGAAGCGCAAAUUUAUCGCCGGAAGUUCCUCGAACGAUUCGGUCAGAAGAAGAAGAAGAAGUGUAGAGAGAAGGAGGAACAAGUUGGGCGUCUCCGGACUGAGUUUAUUAAAGUCGGCGCGGCGAAGAGAUGAAUAGGCAGUUGGCACGUAUGCGGAUAUCGCGCGCUUUUGCGCGUGUAUACGUGUUUAUAUUCCGAAACUUUUUGCUUUUCUUCUACUCCUUGAAGUUAAAUUUUGAAAAACUCCUUCAUCAAAAUCCCGAGCUUUCGCGUCGAAAACUAUCAGCGUCGCAACGUUUCUCUCGGCGCUAAUCCCUCUCUCUAUACGCGAGGGGGAAAAAAGAGAAGGAGGAAAAAAAACUUGUACAGCUGAGCACGACUCGUUUUCAAGUCUCCGCCGAGCCAUUGUUUUCGCUGUAUAGGAAGAAGUUGGACCGCCCCGUCGAGAAGCCGUCGCUGAAAAUUUUCGAGCGAGACAUCAAGGGCCGCCGGAGAGAUUUUACGAGGCGACGAAGAGACGCCUAAAGACGCGGCGACUGGACGAAGAACUUUGAGCCGAGUGAUUCUCGCUACGCGUGUGUAUAUAUGUAUAUACAGGCUCUUGGGAAUAUAGGAGAGUUUUAUGAUUU
Long non-coding RNA from Nasonia vitripennis (jewel wasp), 5217 nucleotides. RefSeq lists it as uncharacterized. The transcript has 3 exons. Lineage: Eukaryota; Metazoa; Arthropoda; Insecta; Hymenoptera; Pteromalidae. The record is from RefSeq and is a predicted model, not a curated record.